Molecule: long non-coding RNA, 3327 nt
Organism: Strigops habroptila (Kakapo)
Lineage: Eukaryota; Metazoa; Chordata; Aves; Psittaciformes; Psittacidae
Exons: 6
Source: RefSeq, a predicted model, not a curated record
CCGGGCAUGCGGCGCGGCGUUCCCGUUGCCCACGCUCCUGUUCGCCGGAAGUGGCGGCGCGAUCCUGCGGGCCGGUGCCGCGUGGCCGCCGCUGCCACCCGGUGAGGAGCCGCCGCCGCUCCACGCUCAGGUGUCGGCGGGCGCGCGGGGUGCUCGUGGCCGCAGCCCGGUGUUCGCGCACCGGUUCCAGUCCCUCCGGCGCGCUGUCGGCGAGUGUCGCGUGCGCAGCGCCCGGGAGCAGCGCGGCGGCGCGCAGGGCCCGGGUCCCGGCACCGGCGGCAGCAGGAAGAAGAAGAAGAAUGCCUAGCAGAGACGGAUAAAGAAGAGCAGGGGGAAGAAACAAGACCAGAAAAGCAGUGCGGAAGGUGCCUGUGAAGAGCAGGGAGAAGAGAAGCAGCAGCCUCCAGCAAGUCAGGCAAGAAACUGCCCCUCCCAGAGCAGAGCCUCAGAAAAAGGAGGAAGGUUAGCCAAUGGGCUGGAGGGUGUGCGGAUCGAGAGCAAGGGCUGCCUGUCCACACUGACCUUCUUCAACAUCUCAGAGGAGGACUAUGGCAACUACACGUGUGUGGCCACGAACAAGCUGGGCAACACCAAUGCCAGCAUCAUCCUGCAUGGUAGAUGCCCUGGUUUUUUUGCAGCAAGGUGUUGUGAGGAGGAGGAUGAAGAGGAGGAGGUUGAGUGGCCAGUGAUGGAAGGGAAUGGGUUUUAUUUAGCAAUGCCAGCCCAUCGAGGUGCCGAAUGGCACGAGCUCUGAGUGGACAGGAUACAUCAGAGGAUGAUGAGGAGAUCUGCAUUGCCCCAUGCAGGAGGGCACUGCUUGAUGGUGGUCGGUGGUGGUCACGGUGGAUGUUUGUUUAGGGAUGAGCAGCGGAUGGUGAAGAGACAGACAGGACAUCGUUGGAACGCAGGCCCAAGGAGCGGGCCCCAGCAACUGUCAUUGCUGACCAUCCCAGGGUGCCCGACCUGUUGUUUGCAAAGAAAGAAGAGCACCCACUGCCACCACCAUCUCUUCAUGCAUCUUCUGUUGGCCACCUUUCCUACCCACCACCAGGGCGAUCUGCUUCCUCCGGUCCUGAUGGUUGUGUGGUCUCCUCCAUUAUCUCCUCCAUCGUUGUCUCCUCCACAAAGAUGUGGUUCUCUGCUGCAGACUGAGAGCUGCUCACAGGUGAUACCUGCAAUGUCCUAGAAGGAAAAGCCCUACCUAUCCAGAUAGUCCUCCUAACUCCCUAUACAACAACUCACCAGUGCCUACAUCUCAGCCAGGGGAUGCAUAGUGACUCCUGCUAGGAUGUCACCUUUUGUCUCCCUUGGUCUUCCCUGGAUCUCCUUGUACUUCCUGAUGUUCUGGAUCUGGUACCUCCUUCUCUGGCUGUCCAUCCAUUUCUGUCCACAUGGGCCAAGCUGCCUGGGGAAAAAACCCUCUACUCUCUCUGCAUCUAUCUACCAAGCUUCCUCACCACACUCUUUGGCCUGGUGGCAUGCCUAGCCCUACACCAUUGCCGUGCUCCAUCCUUGAAUCUAUCCCUCAUUAUCUCCUCCUGCCUCUCGACAGGCAUGUGGAGCAUGGGCAGACCUGUGCCUGCUCUCUCCUCCAGGCCUUUGCUUCCCUGGCUCUUCCCAACUGGCACCCACAUGCACCCACCUACCCAAAUCCUUCCCAAAUAACAGCCUUCAUCCCAUGAGAUGCAACAAACCACCUUUCCACGCACAGACCUCAUUGGCUGCCUCUUGCAUCUUCUUUGUCCUCUUCCUCCUCACUUGCUGCCUAAGAACCCCCCUCACACCGUGACCCCAAAAUAUCACCAAGCACCUGGCAGUCCACACGUCUGGACUAUGCCAUCUCCUAUGUCAGCAUGCCCUUAGUGUUGAGCACGAGUUGUCCCACUUCCAAGCACCUCUGACGUAACCAGUCUAAUAAAGCUGUGCUAACCCUGAAUCAGCCUCAUGAGUAUACCCAAAGUACCACCUAUGCUACCUAACCUAACGCCUACACUACCUCAAGUGCCACCUACACUACCCUAAGUGUCACCUAUGCUACCCAAGCUGCCACCUACACUACCCAACUUGCAGACAGGAUGGGAAACCUAAAUCAAAGCUCUGCCUUUGCUGUGUGUGCCUGCUUGCCAGGACACUCGUUUUUGCACAAACGUGGAAUAAAUAGCUGCUUCACUGUUGUGUCUGACCGAGACCUGCCUGAACCCAGAGACCCUUUGUCAUAAUUCAACUUCUCAGACACCAAAAUCCAAGACCCAUUCCCUCAUCAGGACGCAGGAUGGCGUCCACCAUCACCAACACCUGCAGUACCGAAUUCCGGACACAGGGUGGCAGCAGCGAGCGGCAUGCGGCGCCACACCGCCGCCCCCCACCCGCGCUCUACCGAGAUUUCUGGGUGUCCCCCCCCCGAACCCGCCCCAACCCUUGCAGACCCAGAAUCAGGGGUUUUGGAUUAUUUUUGGGCCACCACCGCGGCUCCUGCUCCACAAGCACAGCCGGACAUGGAAAGGUCUUUUUGGGGAAUCAGACCCAAAUCAAGCUGUUACUCACCUUUCUUCAAAGGACCCCCCACACACACUCACCUGCUCGUCUGCGAAAUCAUCGCCAAGCAGCAGCUUUCUGUCCUGGUGACCUUAGGCUUAGGAGCAGGGGCUGGAAGUUUGCACUUCGGGAUGAGGACGGGGCCGGCCGUGGUGGAAUCAACGCAGUGGUUUCAGUCAGGUCCGACCUUCCCUGCACGCACCAGCCUCGGGAGGCGCCGCUGGCUUCAAUCAGGUUCACCUUGAAGAUGAGUUUGUUGUUCCUCCUGUCCGUGGUCGAGAUGGUGACCUGAAAACAGCAGCACGGAGUGGAGGAGCCCCUGGAUUACUUGCAGAUACAACAGCAGAGGGGUCCCACCCCAGGAUCUCUCCCCCCAGCACCCACCUGGUUGGUGCAACUCUUCUUCCAGCCGUACCCCAUCUUCUCACACACCUCCUUCAGGGCACGGUACGAGCCGUCAGCGUCCAGCUUGGUGAAGAAGCGUGUCAUCCGCUUCACCAGGCGCUGCCACGGGCUCUGCCGGCCCCAAACCCAUGGGAAAGGUCAGAAAUCCCAUCAGGCUGCAGCAAUCCCGAGGGUAAAGCCUGGAAAGCUGCACCCCCUGAUGGCAAAGGCUGCGAGCUGCAACGCCCAGGAUGCAAACCUGCACCCCAAACGUUAUAAACGCUGUGAAGCUGCAUCCCAGUACUGCAAAACUGCUCCCUAUGGCAUAAGUAUUUCACAGUUGCCUCUGAAUCUCAUAUAUAUAAUGCGAAGUUACAUCCCAAACGUAAUAAAUACUUUGAAUUUGGA